UGGGGAAUAUUGCACAAUGGGGGAAACCCUGAUGCAGCGACGCCGCGUGAGCGAAGAAGGUUUUCGAAUCGUAAAGCUCUGUCCUAUGAGAAGAUAAUGACGGUAUCAUAGGAGGAAGCCCCGGCUAAAUACGUGCCAGCAGCCGCGGUAAUACGUAUGGGGCGAGCGUUGUCCGGAAUUAUUGGGCGUAAAGGGUACGUAGGCGGUCUAUUAAGUAGUGUGUGAAAGCGUGAGGCUUAACCUCAUUAAGCACUUGAAACUGAUAGACUUGAGUGAAGGAGAGGAAAGUGGAAUUCCUAGUGUAGCGGUGAAAUGCGUAGAUAUUAGGAGGAAUACCGGUGGCGAAGGCGACUUUCUGGACUUUUACUGACGCUCAGGUACGAAAGCGUGGGGAGCAAACAGG
Molecule: ribosomal RNA, 403 nt
Filed under: Verrucomicrobiota bacterium
Lineage: Bacteria; Pseudomonadati; Verrucomicrobiota
Description: Verrucomicrobia bacterium partial 16S ribosomal RNA
Rfam family: Bacterial small subunit ribosomal RNA
Source: RNAcentral